This 230-nucleotide unclassified non-coding RNA is filed under the name Hevea brasiliensis (rubber tree). Lineage: Eukaryota; Viridiplantae; Streptophyta; Magnoliopsida; Malpighiales; Euphorbiaceae. The record is from RNAcentral.
AUUUGAGUCCCUUUAAUCUUCCACAAGGAUGCUCAAAACGAGCUACAGCAUUAGCAACUUAAAUUGAAAAAAGAAAUAUCAGACACAAGAACAGAUGUAUGGUAAAGUUACUAAUAAAUGCCUUCCAAGAAGAUUAAAAAGGCAUUAUCAGCGAAACUUCCACUAUCGUUGUAGGCCUCCCAUGAAUCAGACAAGCACCAAACCUCAGCUUAUCUGGGAUUAUGAAGGCA